UCGUAUAUACAGUGUUCGGGCCAAAGCUGCACUAGCUGCUGCGUGCGAAACACAUUUGACCUCCCUUAAAAUGCUGCAAACUAUGAGGUCUGUGCAUAUGAAACGUAUUGUAUUCACCCUUCAUGCCGAGGCACAUGCAUCGAUGGAGCCCAUGCAUUGCCGUCAGGUACCCCUCGUCCCUAAGAUCUACUGCUGUAACAACCACGCACACAUACUGCUAGUAGUCAUAAGAGCUGUAAUUCCUGUGACCUCUGGUGUCCUGUUCGCGCCAGUUGCACCGCAAACGCUUCCACAUGAACUGUUAAACUGUUUAAAAUUUUCGUAUUCUUAAGUAUCGCGCGUGUGUAUGCUUUGAAAAUACAGGAGAUGGAAAAGGUACGCUUACAGCGCUAGCCGUCAGCGAUUUCUGGCUUACCAGGGUCUCAAGAUCUAGGACCUCUUUUCCGAAAGCACUGAAAGGAGUUUUGCAACGUUAUGUAAUCUUUUCGGGGACUUUCCAUGGACCUGCCGGCGAAGUAAGGGAAUGAUAUGCGCACGCCGCCGAAUAAGUAAUUAUCAGUAAAUUGUUAACCUGCAGGUAUCACGUUGAACUUCUUAAUGCAAUGCCAACAUAAACCAAACAGAACAAGCCUACAACAUGACUUCCAAAGGGUGGCAUGUAUGUUAGAAGCGCCCUGCAUUCCGCUAAGGUACAGCUUGUUUGCUAUUUGGACGGAACAGUCUUUUUUGCGUUCUUUUCCGAGUACCUCUUACACUGCUUGUCCUGCGCAUCCUUUACAUGUACUACGGCUAAGGGAUCCCUUCCGGAUGAUGAAGAAUGUGCUUUAUGCUGGACCAAUUACACAUCACGAUCAGCAUCGAUUAAGCGGCUCCAGGAGCUGGUACCAGCUGGUACCGGCCGGUGCUUAGGGCCCGAUCCGCCGCCGGGAGGACGACUUCCUGAGGCAAACACGACGGACAUCCCGAACGGUGCUUACAUCCGUGUUAUGGAAAAUUGCUCUUACGUGUGUGGACCGGACGGAUGGACAAGAGGCAACGUUUUGCAUCACUUGUUUCUUGGCCGCAAGCAGCAACGUAGUGAAGGACAUGGACGCGCAUGCACAGGCCAUGGAAUGGUAUGUCUAAAUCAUGGAUGGCGACGUUCAACUCUCAGAAUGGUGAUUUCUGCCUUUGGGUUCAAUUCUGAACCUGGAAUGCUGCUGGCUCUGCCCGUACCGGAAAAGUGCUUUCCGGUACGGCGGUGCCAGGAGGUGGUAUCUACGUCGUCUUAGGGGCAACCCUAAGACCAAGGGGAUGAACGAAUACAUAUACACUUUCUGUUUCUUGGCUGCAGCAAGUGUUGUCCUGGGCGCAACGUUGAUGGCCUGAUGCCGACGCGACCUCCUUUACGACAAUGCUAGGCAAACGCAGCGGAUGUUCAUGAAUUACUUAAGCGUUCAUAUUACUCGUCACAGCUUCAACGGCACUGUACUGGGCGGAUGUAAGACGUGCGUUGGUGGACGCGAUGGCCUUACGAAGGGGGAGAAAGACGCUUAGGAGAUGCUUGGAUUGUUAUGUACAAGUCACAGACGGGGACGUUUAACUCUAUGAAUGCUGAGUUUUAGCUACUAGUCGGGUUUUUUGAACUUCGCUGUUGUUGUUUCCGCCCGUACAGGAAAAGUGUCUUCUGAUACGGCGGUCACAGCAGGUAGUAUCCACGUCGACUUGUAUGCAAACCAAAUACAACGAAACCAGGGGAUGAUAUGACAGUUUUGGAAUGCUUGUUUCUUGGCCGCAAGCAGCAGCAUACUUAAAUCGCGUUGGGCCAUUUGCCCAGGCUGCCGCAAGGACGACAAGCCAGGCUAAUGCAGCUGGUGUCCAUGACGGGUUCAUUACGUGCUGAAUAUGAAAGAUUGCUACAAAGACUCUGGCCCUGACGAACGUAAAAUGUGAUGUUCGUAAGGAAGAAAACAGACGCAUAUCCAAGGCAUGGAGCUGUUUGUAGGGAAACCGUAAAUGAAGGUUUAAGGAACUGAACGAUGAAUUCUGCCGGUGUGGUCGGUUCUGGAUCUCUUAUGUUGCUCGUCACGCUCGUACGGAAAAUGGGCAUUUGUUGCAGGAGGGAGUCUGUGUGUCAAGUCGUAGUCGAACCUUUUUCAAAGGGGAUGAGCACACACACAGCUUGCAUUCCAUGUUCACUAAUGUCAGCCCACAGUAAGCUACUGGGCUAGACUUGGAGGGUCCGACCGGGGCAACUCGUUGCUGUGGACUUGUAGGCAAGUCAAGUAGGGCUAUGGAAUGCUAGGACAAUGUUAUUAUGUUUGUGUUAUAGGCUUGGGUAGGAAUUCUUAAGCAAUACGUUGAGUGGCUUUUCCGCCGGCGGGAGGACGACAAUCCCACGCAAACAGGACGGAUGUUCCGAAUGUUGCUUACAUUCAUGUUGUCGAAGCUCGCGACGACGGCUCUGGACAGGACGGAUGUCAAGUGUGCGUUGGUGGACGUGAUGGCAACGUAGUGAAGGACACGGACGCGCAUGCACAGGCCAUGGAAUGGUAUGUCUAAAUCAUGGAUGGCGACGUUCAACUCUCAGAAUGGUGAUUUCUGCCUUUGGGUUCAAUUCUGAACCUGGAAUGCUGCUGGCUCUGCCCGUACCGGAAAAGUGCUUUCCGGUACGGCGGUGUCAGGAGGUGGUAUCUACGUCGUCUUAGGGGCAACCCUAAGACUAAGGGGAUGAACGAAUAGAGAUAUACUUAGGGUUUCUUGNNN
RNAcentral lists this long non-coding RNA (2745 nucleotides) under Volvox carteri. Its description in RNAcentral is "long non-coding RNA (VCAR_LNC003197)". Lineage: Eukaryota; Viridiplantae; Chlorophyta; Chlorophyceae; Chlamydomonadales; Volvocaceae. The record is from RNAcentral.